AUUGAACGCUGGCGGCAGGCCUAACACAUGCAAGUCGAACGGUAACAGGAAGAAGCUUGCUUCUUUGCUGACGAGUGGCGGACGGGUGAGUAAUGUCUGGGAAACUGCCUGAUGGAGGGGGAUAACUACUGGAAACGGUAGCUAAUACCGCAUAACGUCGCAAGACCAAAGAGGGGGACCUUCGGGCCUCUUGCCAUCGGAUGUGCCCAGAUGGGAUUAGCUAGUAGGUGGGGUAACGGCUCACCUAGGCGACGAUCCCUAGCUGGUCUGAGAGGAUGACCAGCCACACUGGAACUGAGACACGGUCCAGACUCCUACGGGAGGCAGCAGUGGGGAAUAUUGCACAAUGGGCGCAAGCCUGAUUCAGCCAUGCCGCGUGUAUGAAGAAGGCCUUCGGGUUGUAAAGUACUUUCAGCGGGGAGGAAGGGAGUAAAGUUAAUACCUUUGCUCAUUGACGUUACCCGCAGAAGAAGCACCGGCUAACUCCGUG
Molecule: ribosomal RNA, 490 nt
Filed under: uncultured bacterium
Lineage: Bacteria
Description: partial 16S ribosomal RNA
Rfam family: Bacterial small subunit ribosomal RNA
Source: RNAcentral